RNAcentral lists this ribosomal RNA (2879 nucleotides) under Burkholderia multivorans. RNAcentral describes it as "bacterial LSU rRNA". It matches the Rfam family "Bacterial large subunit ribosomal RNA". The record is from RNAcentral. Lineage: Bacteria; Pseudomonadati; Pseudomonadota; Betaproteobacteria; Burkholderiales; Burkholderiaceae. RNAcentral also lists the same sequence under 1 other name.
UCAAGCGAACAAGUGCAUGUGGUGGAUGCCUUGGCGAUCACAGGCGAUGAAGGACGCGGUAGCCUGCGAAAAGCCCCGGGGAGCUGGCAAACAAGCUUUGAUCCGGGGAUGUCCGAAUGGGGAAACCCACUCCGUAUGGAGUAUCCAUGACUGAAUACAUAGGUCAUGUGAAGCGAACGCGGUGAACUGAAACAUCUAAGUAACCGCAGGAAAAGAAAUCAACCGAGAUUCCCAAAGUAGUGGCGAGCGAAAUGGGAUGAGCCUUGUACUCUUUAUUCGUAUUGUUAGCCGAACGCUCUGGAAAGUGCGGCCAUAGCAGGUGAUAGCCCUGUAGGCGAAAACAGUAUGAAAGAACUAGGUGUACGACAAGUAGGGCGGGACACGUGAAAUCCUGUCUGAAGAUGGGGGGACCAUCCUCCAAGGCUAAAUACUCGUGAUCGACCGAUAGUGAACCAGUACCGUGAGGGAAAGGCGAAAAGAACCCCGGGAGGGGAGUGAAAUAGAUCCUGAAACCGCAUGCAUACAAACAGUCGGAGCCUCGUAAGGGGUGACGGCGUACCUUUUGUAUAAUGGGUCAGCGACUUACGUUCAGUAGCAAGCUUAACCGUAUAGGGCAGGCGUAGCGAAAGCGAGUCCGAAUAGGGCGUUCAGUUGCUGGGCGUAGACCCGAAACCAGGUGAUCUAUCCAUGGCCAGGAUGAAGGUGCGGUAACACGUACUGGAGGUCCGAACCCACUAACGUUGAAAAGUUAGGGGAUGAGCUGUGGAUAGGGGUGAAAGGCUAAACAAACCUGGAAAUAGCUGGUUCUCUCCGAAAACUAUUUAGGUAGUGCCUCGUGUCUCACCUUCGGGGGUAGAGCACUGUCAUGGUUGGGGGGUCUAUUGCAGAUUACCCCGCCAUAGCAAACUCCGAAUACCGAAGAGUGCAAUCACGGGAGACAGACAUCGGGUGCUAACGUCCGGUGUCAAGAGGGAAACAACCCAGACCGCCAGCUAAGGUCCCCAAAUAUGGCUAAGUGGGAAACGAAGUGGGAAGGCUAAAACAGUCAGGAGGUUGGCUUAGAAGCAGCCACCCUUUAAAGAAAGCGUAAUAGCUCACUGAUCGAGUCGUCCUGCGCGGAAGAUGUAACGGGGCUAAGCCAUAUACCGAAGCUGCGGAUGCGUGCUUGCACGCAUGGUAGGAGAGCGUUCCGUAAGCCUGCGAAGGUGCCUUGUAAAGGGUGCUGGAGGUAUCGGAAGUGCGAAUGCUGACAUGAGUAGCGAUAAAGGGGGUGAAAGGCCCCCUCGCCGUAAGCCCAAGGUUUCCUACGCAACGUUCAUCGGCGUAGGGUGAGUCGGCCCCUAAGGCGAGGCAGAAAUGCGUAGCUGAUGGGAAGCAGGUCAAUAUUCCUGCACCGUCGUUAGAUGCGAUGGGGGGACGGAUCGCGGAAGGUUGUCCGGGUGUUGGACGUCCCGGUCGCUGCAUUGGAGAAGGCGCUUAGGCAAAUCCGGGCGCAGGAUUCAAGGGUGUGGCGCGAGCGACUUCGGUCGCGAAGCAAUUGGAAGUGGUUCCAAGAAAAGCCUCUAAGCUUCAGUCUAACGAUGACCGUACCGCAAACCGACACAGGUGGGCGAGAUGAGUAUUCUAAGGCGCUUGAGAGAACUCGGGAGAAGGAACUCGGCAAAUUGGUACCGUAACUUCGGGAUAAGGUACGCCCUUGUAGCUUGACCAGCCUGCGCUGGAAGGGUGAAGGGGUUGCAAUAAACUGGUGGCUGCGACUGUUUAAUAAAAACACAGCACUCUGCAAACACGAAAGUGGACGUAUAGGGUGUGACGCCUGCCCGGUGCCGGAAGAUUAAAUGAUGGGGUGCAAGCUCUUGAUUGAAGUCCCGGUAAACGGCGGCCGUAACUAUAACGGUCCUAAGGUAGCGAAAUUCCUUGUCGGGUAAGUUCCGACCUGCACGAAUGGCGUAACGAUGGCCACACUGUCUCCUCCCGAGACUCAGCGAAGUUGAAGUGUUUGUGAUGAUGCAAUCUACCCGCGGCUAGACGGAAAGACCCCAUGAACCUUUACUGUAGCUUUGCAUUGGACUUUGAACCGAUCUGUGUAGGAUAGGUGGGAGGCUAUGAAACCGGAACGCUAGUUUCGGUGGAGCCGUCCUUGAAAUACCACCCUGGUUUGUUUGAGGUUCUAACCUUGGUCCGUGAUCCGGAUCGGGGACAGUGCAUGGUAGGCAGUUUGACUGGGGCGGUCUCCUCCCAAAGGGUAACGGAGGAGUACGAAGGUACGCUAGGUACGGUCGGAAAUCGUGCUGAUAGUGCAAUGGCAUAAGCGUGCUUAACUGCGAGACCGACAAGUCGAGCAGGUGCGAAAGCAGGUCAUAGUGAUCCGGUGGUUCUGUAUGGAAGGGCCAUCGCUCAACGGAUAAAAGGUACUCUGGGGAUAACAGGCUGAUACCGCCCAAGAGUUCAUAUCGACGGCGGUGUUUGGCACCUCGAUGUCGGCUCAUCUCAUCCUGGGGCUGUAGCCGGUCCCAAGGGUAUGGCUGUUCGCCAUUUAAAGAGGUACGUGAGCUGGGUUUAAAACGUCGUGAGACAGUUUGGUCCCUAUCUGCCGUGGGCGUUGGAUAUUUGAAGGGGGCUGCUCCUAGUACGAGAGGACCGGAGUGGACGAACCUCUGGUGUACCGGUUGUGACGCCAGUCGCAUCGCCGGGUAGCUAUGUUCGGAAGAGAUAACCGCUGAAAGCAUCUAAGCGGGAAACUCGCCUUAAGAUGAGAUAUCCCUGGAGGCUUGACCUCCUUGAAGGGUCGUUCGAGACCAGGACGUUGAUAGGUCGGGUGUGUAAGCGCAGUAAUGCGUUCAGCUAACCGAUACUAAUUGCCCGUAAGGCUUGAUCCU